GGCUAAAACUCAAAGGAAUUGACGGGGGCCGCACAAGCGGCGGAGCAUGUGGAUUAUUCGAUGCAACGCGAAGAACCUUACCUGGGUUUGACAUGCACAGGACGCCGGCAGAGAUGUCGGUUCCCUUGUGGCCUGUGUGCAGGUGGUGCAUGGCUGUCGUCAGCUCGUGUCGUGAGAUGUUGGGUUAAGUCCCGCAACGAGCGCAACCCUUAUCUUAUGUUGCCAGCGCGUAAUGGCGGGGACUCGUGAGAGACUGCCGGGGUCAACUCGGAGGAAGGUGGGGAUGACGUCAAGUCAUCAUGCCCCUUAUGUCCAGGGCUUCACACAUGCUACAAUGGCCGGUACAAAGGGCUGCGAUGCCGCAAGGUUAAGCGAAUCCUUUUAAAGCCGGUCUCAGUUCGGAUCGGGGUCUGCAACUCGACCCCGUGAAGUCGGAGUCGCUAGUAAUCGCAGAUCAGCAACGCUGCGGUGAAUACGUUCCCGGGCCUUGUACACACCGCCCGUCACGUCAUGAAAGUCGGUAACACCCGAAGCCAGUGGCCUAACCUUUUGGAGGGAGCUGUCGAAGGUGGGAUCGGCGAUUGGGACGAAGUCGUAACAAGGUAACCGUA
RNAcentral lists this ribosomal RNA (611 nucleotides) under Mycobacterium sp. T1US1. RNAcentral describes it as "bacterial SSU rRNA". It matches the Rfam family "Bacterial small subunit ribosomal RNA", at positions 892 to 1504 of the family's 1533-position model. Lineage: Bacteria; Bacillati; Actinomycetota; Actinomycetes; Mycobacteriales; Mycobacteriaceae. The record is from RNAcentral.